GACGAACGCUGGCGGCGUGCUUAACACAUGCAAGUCGAACGGUAAGGCCCUUCGGGGUACACGAGUGGCGAACGGGUGAGUAACACGUGGGUGAUCUGCCCUGCACUUCGGGAUAAGCCUGGGAAACUGGGUCUAAUACCGGAUAGGACCACUGCCUGCAUGGGUGGUGGUGGAAAGCUUUUGCGGUGUGGGACGGGCCCGCGGCCGAUCAGCUUGUUGGUGGGGUGAUGGCCUACCAAGGCGACGACGGGUAGCCGGCCUGAGAGGGUGACCGGCCACACUGGGACUGAGAUACGGCCCAGACUCCUACGGGAGGCAGCAGUGGGGAAUAUUGCACAAUGGGCGCAAGCCUGAUGCAGCGACGCCGCGUGAGGGAUGACGGCCUUCGGGUUGUAAACCUCUUUCAGCACCGACGAAGCGCAAGUGACGGUAGGUGCAGAAGAAGGACCGGCCAACUACGUGCCAGCAGCCGCCGUAA
Molecule: ribosomal RNA, 478 nt
Filed under: uncultured bacterium
Lineage: Bacteria
Description: partial 16S ribosomal RNA
Rfam family: Bacterial small subunit ribosomal RNA
Source: RNAcentral